ACGCGAGACUUAGGAAACUCAAAGGAAUUGACAGGGAAACGCUAGUAUAAGAAUACCCGCUAACUUGUGCCGGCAGCCGCUUUAAUACGGAGGGUGUAAGCGUUAAUCGGAAUUACUGGGCGUAAAGCGCACACAGGGGAUUUUUUAAGUCAAAUUUGAAAUCCCCGCGCUUAACAUGUGAACGGUUUUGAAACUGGCUAUCUAGAGUCUUGUAGAGGGGGGUAGAAUUCCAGGUGUAGCGGUGAAAUGCCUAAAGAUCUGGAGGAAUACCGGUGGCGAAGGGAGCCCCCUGAACAAAGACUGAUCUUUUUUUUGAUUCGUGGGGAGGUACAGGUUUAGAUACCCUGGUGUGGCGCUAAAACGACGUCGACUUGAAGGUAGUGCCAUGAGAGUGUCUCCCCCACCUACGUUUAUUUAUUCCCGGGGAGUUUGUUUUAAUGUUAAACUCAAAUGUUUGAC
This 459-nucleotide ribosomal RNA is filed under the name uncultured bacterium. Its description in RNAcentral is "partial 16S ribosomal RNA". It matches the Rfam family "Bacterial small subunit ribosomal RNA", at positions 438 to 914 of the family's 1533-position model. The record is from RNAcentral.